RNAcentral lists this ribosomal RNA (505 nucleotides) under uncultured bacterium. RNAcentral describes it as "partial 16S ribosomal RNA". It matches the Rfam family "Bacterial small subunit ribosomal RNA", at positions 28 to 507 of the family's 1533-position model. The record is from RNAcentral.
GACGAACGCUGGCGGCGUGCCUAAUACAUGCAAGUAGAACGCACAGUUUAUACCGUAGCUUGCUACACCAUAGACUGUGAGUUGCGAACGGGUGAGUAACGCGUAGGUAACCUGCCUGGUAGCGGGGGAUAACUAUUGGAAACGAUAGCUAAUACCGCAUAAUAUUGAUUAUUGCAUGAUAAUUGAUUGAAAGAUGCUAUUGCAUCACUACCAGAUGGACCUGCGUUGUAUUAGCUAGUAGGUGAGGUAACGGCUCACCUAGGCGACGAUACAUAGCCGACCUGAGAGGGUGAUCGGCCACACUGGGACGGAGACACGGCCCAGACUCCUACGGGAGGCAGCAGUAGGGAAUCUUCGGCAAUGGACGAAAGUCUGACCGAGCAACGCCGCGUGAGUGAAGAAGGUUUUCGGAUCGUAAAGCUCGGUUGUAAGAGAAGAACGGGUGUGAGAGUGGAAAGUUCACACUGUGACGGUAUCUUACCAGAAAGGGACGGCUAACUACGUG